CCAAUUGAAGAUGAAGAGCUCUUGACAUACAUUCUCACCGGGCUUGACUUAGAUUUCGAUCCCAUAGUCUCUGCCCUUCUUGCAAGCAAGGAAUCUGUGUCGGUAAGAGAUGCUUAUACUCAACUUCUUGCUUUUGAGA
This is a small nucleolar RNA of Phragmites australis (common reed), 139 nucleotides long. RefSeq annotates it as small nucleolar RNA Z247. The transcript has a single exon. The record is from RefSeq and is a predicted model, not a curated record. Lineage: Eukaryota; Viridiplantae; Streptophyta; Magnoliopsida; Poales; Poaceae.